AUGAAACUUUUGUCAAAAAAACAAUCAUGAAAGAGACAAACUCUGUCUUUAAUGUUCUACUUAACAAAACACAGGUCCUUGUGUCCAGUUGCCACAGUAUGGUUCACUCAGAGGAACAUAUAAACAAAGUCUAGUUUAUAUUUUACAUGAUGAUUGCAAUGAAAUCACAGCACGUAAGCAUUUAUAUAUUUAUAGUUAAACACGUUUUAUAUCAGACACUGGAAGCAUUCAGAUCUGUAAAUUCAUAUGAAGACAUGGACUUCAUCUCAGGCUGAUUGUACUUUACAUUUGAGAUCAGAUGUUUCAUUAGCUCAACUUGCUGUAUUUGAGUAAUGAUCAGACCAACAACAACAUCAACAGGGUCGAGUGCCCGUCCUCCCGCAGGACAACCAGACAGGAAGGAGAGUCUCUGCCCGCCAGAGGAGGCCUGCAGUCUGCAGACAGUGUCCCUGCUGCAGGGACGACCAGGUGCCACAUACAAAGCGCCGGCGCCCUGCUGCUUCUGCAGACCUUCCCCAGAAAAGGAAGCAGACCUCCGCGGCUCUUCCUCCUAAACCUGCUGACCUGCCACCUGUCUCUAAUGUGGCCUCCAGCCCCCGGACCUCCAAUGCUCCCCUGCACCUCGAAGACCCUAUUAGGAUCCACAACCGCUCAGUCGAGGAGUACCAGCUCAUCUACCAUGAAGUUGUGGAUAACAUGCUGAGGUUCCCGGACGGUCGCCUGCGUCCAUAUAGUUUGGGUCUGGGUCGUCGUAUCAAGCAGAAGCUGUGGGAGCGACUGGACCGUCCGAUGUUCACAGAGACAGUGGAUGAAGACGGUCUGGUUCAUGUGGACGUGUCCUACGGUGCUGGAGUCCAGCCUCCGCUCUACAACGUGGAUGUUUCUGGUGAACCAGAGCCCGAAUAUCCACCAGCAAAAAGGGCAAAGCACUAAGACACACUCUCAUAAGCUGACAUGUCUAAUAAUACUGUGCUUUAAGUUUAGUUUAGUUUUUUUUAAAGUAUGGCAGAUAAGUUUAAGUUUAUUAAGUGUAGAGAUACGUUUUUAGUGCCAAGCAUAAGUAUUAUGUGCUAAGUCUUUAGUUUUAAGUAUUUAGUAAUAAGUAUAAGUCUAAAGUGUUAAGAGUAAGUGUUUAGUUUAAGUUUUUAGUUAUAGUAAUUUGUUUGAAGUAUUUCAUAUUAAGUGUUACGUUUUUAGUGCCAAGCACAAGUAUUAAGUGUCAAGUCUUUAAUUUUAAGUAUUUAGUAAUAAGUAUAAAGUGUUAAGAGUAAGUGUUUAGUUUAAGUUUUCUGUUUAAGUACUAAGUUGAAGUAUUAAGUAUUUAGUGUUAAGAGUAAGUAUUUAGUAGUAAGUAUAAGUAUUUAGUGUUUAGUUUAAGUAUUUAGUAAUAAGUUUAAGUAUUUAGUGUUAAGAAUAAGUAGUGUUAAGAGUUAGUAUUUAGUUGAGUUAAGUUUACUUUCAUUGAUCUUAAUGUAUCUCACCACUGAUGAAUUGUCUUCCUCUGAAUCAGUUCCUGCUCCUCUGUUAACAGUCUUCUUACUCCAGCUUCAGCCUCAACAGCAACAGUUAUCACCUGCCAGAACACCUGCUCCACCCUCCAGCCUCCACCUGUUACUUCUACCAGACAAAACAUCAGCCUUGAGCUGCAGCCUGUGAGAUGACAGACUCCUCUCCACCUGCAGCCUCUGUCUCUCUGUUGCCUACAUCCUCUACCAGCAGCUUCAGCAUCAAACUGCUGCCUCACUCUUCACCUGCAGCCUCUGUCAGCAACCUGCAGCCAUCUCCUCCAACUGCACAUUCUGUUGAAUGGCUGAUGGCUGAACCUCCAUCUACAGCCUUUGCCAGUGCCUAUACCUCUCGAAGUGAACUGCUAUCCGAGCCUCCACCCACAGCCUCUGUCAGCAACCUGCAGCUUCCGCCUCCACCUGCAGAUUCCUACAGCCAUCUGAAGACGACCACUGGGGGAGUGGUCGUCUUCAGAUGAAGAUCCCCACAGAAAGCUGUGGCCAAACCUCCACCUACAGCCUCUAUAAGGAAACCUGCACAGAUGUUAUCCUACUGCCAUGUGGAGACCUGAGUGGAACAGCAAGGACCAGAGAAACACACGUGUUUUCAAACGUUGUGAAAGACUGAGCUCACACUCCUCAACAUGAACCUGACUGACUGUGAUGAUGCCUUCAUGAAACGAGAGAGCUCCACUAUCUACCAGGAGCUGCUUCAGGGCCCUGAGGACAUCUCCUUUUACAACAGCUCUGUUCCAGAGAUGCUUCCUCCUCCUCCACAUCCUCCACCUUCACCACCCCUCCUGCUCAUCGCCAGAACUAAGAGUGCCCCACCCCAUCUCA
Molecule: long non-coding RNA, 2345 nt
Organism: Gymnodraco acuticeps
Lineage: Eukaryota; Metazoa; Chordata; Actinopteri; Perciformes; Bathydraconidae
Exons: 6
Source: RefSeq, a predicted model, not a curated record